AUUUCGAACUAGACUUAGCUUGAUCGCCACGAAGAUUGAGGUUGUGCUGAUGUUAUCAUAGUUCGAAUCUCAGGAAUUGGAUUUAGGGGAAAAAAAAAUUGGAUUUAGGGGUUAGGGUUUUGACUAUUAAGGAAUUGGAUUUAGGGGUUAGGGUUUAUGGAAAUGUAGUUCAGAAAAUGAUUAGGAUAGCACUAAAAAAAGUUUUUGUCACAAAUAUAGCCUCUAAGAAUAAAAAUAACCAAAAUAGCACUUAAUGUUUUAUCAAAAGAGAUAAAUAUGCACUUAUAUCCCAGUGGUAAAUUAAUUUAGACAUUAGUGUUUAGAGUUAAGGGGUGGAGUUUGAGAUUUAGGAUUUAGGAUUUAGAGUUUAGAGUUUAGAGUUUAGAGUUUAGAGUUUAGAGUUUAGGUUUUAGGGUUUAGAGUUGGGGAGUGGGAUAAGAUUUCAAAUUUUGAAAAAUAAAAAAAAAUUUAAAUUUUUCAAAAGAUAAAAUGCUAUUUUGGUCAUUUUAGUUUUUGAGGGCUAUUUUGUGACAUAAACUUAGAAAUGUGCUAUUUUGGAGAUUUGCCCAAUGUAGAAUCUUUAUGCUGCUUUUAAUCCCAUUAUAUAGUAUUUGAAUUGUUUAUGCUGA
Molecule: long non-coding RNA, 629 nt
Organism: Brassica rapa (field mustard)
Lineage: Eukaryota; Viridiplantae; Streptophyta; Magnoliopsida; Brassicales; Brassicaceae
Source: RefSeq, a predicted model, not a curated record